Long non-coding RNA from Orcinus orca (killer whale), 5516 nucleotides. RefSeq lists it as uncharacterized. The transcript has 3 exons. NCBI's taxonomy places the organism in Eukaryota, Metazoa, Chordata, Mammalia, Artiodactyla, Delphinidae. The record is from RefSeq and is a predicted model, not a curated record.
UUUACAGAAGUAACUUAGCAUACCCAAAUGUCUAAGUACACAACUGUUAUGCUGCUGGAAGUGGCAAGAGAAAACAAUCCAGGUAGAAAUGAACAGGAAAAGAUGUUUAGGUUCCCUGUUCUGUGAAGAGUAAUGUAGGGAAAUGAAAGUGAACUGGAGAGGAAGAGAAAUGGGAGCUGAAGAAACAGCCAAGAAUCAGGAAGAGAGAUUGCAAAACAUGCCCCCUUUAGCCCCAAGUGCAUUUGCAUUUGCCUCUUUCUCUGCCUUUUGGUUGUUUGGAGGUGCCAGGCAUGCGUUGCCACAUGGCACACCCUCGACCUCUCCUGGUCACACUCUGUCAUGAGUCACAACCUUGAGUCCUGUGGAAACAGCAAAGAGCUGGGCUCUCGGGGAGGAAGACAGUGCCUGACCCAGUGUCCACUACUUCAAGAAAUGGGCAUAAGGUGGCAGCACUGGUAGUGCCUGCAGGUGUUGUGGAGAGAAACUUGGCCAAGGGCCAGCUGUACUUGAGCUGCUAAGUCCCAGGGAAAAGAUGGAAAAGGGGAACUCUGUUAAAGACCUCCUUAUUAGGGUAGUAAGUGAUGGAAGGAAAAAGGCUUCUCCUGGGGAAGCAGUGGCACCAGGAGCUCCACUAGGAGGAAUGCGUGAUGAGGUCACAUUGCCUGGCACCCAUACGUCUGUUAAAAGAAUAACUGCCACUUAUGAGGAAGGAUUAAGACGGACUGAUGAACAACAUGGAUGAAUCUUGAAAACAUGGUACAGCAGGCAAGUUCUUCUAAUGCUUGGCCCUCAGGGAAGCCUACAGAGAGAGGCAAUUCGGAAAACCCUGUUUUGGAACAGAGCUGCUCCUCAAUAGCUCCGCAUGGAAGAGGAAUUCCUGCCACAAAUGACAAGACAUCACAGGCACACAGCUUGGACUAGAGUGAGGACUGCUGCUUCUUCCUUCUUGUGGUGCUCUGACCUGGGAGGCCCAUGGACUACAGUAUUAGGCAAGCACCCAGGUGCCUUGUUCCUCCAUGUUAUACUUGGGCUGCAGUCUGAAUGUUGUAGACUUGCAAGGGACUGCCCAAUGUAUUUGCUUCCUUUUGUUUUUAUAGUCUUUCGACUUUUAGGCUGACUUUAUCUCCUUGAUUUUCCUAGUUUCUGGAAGAAUAUGUAGCAAAUACUAAUUGUCACUGGCAAGUUCCCGGCAUACAGCAUUAGUGAAAUUCAUUUCUUCCUUCUUGUUAAAUCAUUCUUGUGUUUAAAAAAAAUUUUUUUUAACACUUUUGUAAAUUUAACCCCUUGCCAACACCUUUCUGUCACUGUGUACUCAGCAUUAGCUAUAUGAAGGCCUAAGCAGUAUGGAGACUUAAGAACUUGUUUUCUUCUCUAUUUGUUUUUUAAAUUAUAGAAGACUCUAAUGCUGUCAGCUGGUAAAUGUUUAGAAUUUAAGGUAAACAUCACUCUAACUUUUGUAAACACUGUAAUAGAAAACUGGUUUUAGAGAUGCAAAAACAAAUCAAAAAUUUUGUUUUAUGGAGAAUUGUGUUGAAGACAUAUUUUGAAAUUUGAAGAAGGAAACAAGAGGUUCUAUGUCUUCAGUGCAGCUUUGAAUAUUUAGGAUUUCUUCUGUUAACUGUUCUGUUUUGUGUCACUACUGCAUGAGGGCCUCAGAAAGGCUGGACUGGAAACACCAGCCCCCUGAAAGGGACAGUCACGUGUUCAUGGAGUGAGGAAGUGCUAGCUGCUGGCUGGGGACUUCCCAGGUCACUAAUUUUGAAAAACCCCCUAAACACUGAUCUUAAAGAUCCAAUUCUUCUAUUCAACAGCAAGGAUCAAAAUGUUGGAAGGCUGUAUCCUGUUUCCUCAUCUAGCACCAGGAUUCUGGUGAAGAGUUGCAAUGGAGUGGACUCUAAGUCGGCUUGUUCUUUCCUUUCUUAUUCGACCAAUUAAGGACAUUAUUUCAUUUGGUGCGUCUUAGCCAUUCAUUUUGGUGGACAGUUGUUUCUCUUGUUAUAAAGACCAAUGACCAUUCUAAACCCAGAGUCAGCCAAAUAGGUAAAACAAAUAUCGCAUAAUUCCACAUAGCUGCCUUAGGAGGACUGAGUUCUAGUCUAUGCAGGAAUCCCUGGCAUGAGCACUGUUAUGUACAGAAGCCUGAGCUUAGAGAGCAGCCAGUGUGGCAUAGAUUGUGACUUGUGGACAUUUUUGUGCCAUUUAGUCCAAGUACAAUUACCCAUCAUGAGAGCCUAUGUGACACAAACAGAAAGAGAGUAGGAGAAGAUGAACAGGAGGAAAGAAGUUAUCUUAAUUCUAUUCUCCCCAAGGGGAGAAAAUGACUAAAAUAUAACCUGAGUGUAAGAGCAUUAGUAAUAUUAAUAAUAAUAUCUUUGAUAAUUAGGCCACUGAUCUCAAAGUACUUUUAUUUAUUUAUUUAUUUUAAAUUUAUUUAUUUAUUUUUGGCUGCAUUGGGUCUUCGUUGCUGCGUGCGGGCUCUCUCUGGUUGCGGCGAGUGGGGGCCACUCUUCAUUGUGGUGCACGGGCUUCUCACUGUGGGCUUCUCGCUGUGGUGGCUUCUUUUGUUGUGGAGCAUGGGCUCCAGGCUUGUGGGCUUCAUUAGCUGCAGCACACAGGCUCAGUAGUUGUGGCUCGCAGGCUCCAGAGCGCAGGCUCAGUAGUUGUGGCGCACGGGCUCAGUUGUUCCGCAGCAUGUGGGAUCUUCCCGGACCAGGACUUGAACCCGUGUCCCCUGCACUGGCAGGUGGAUUCCCAACCACUGCACCACCACCAGGGAAGCCCUCAAGUACUUUUUUUUUUUUUUGCAGUGCGUGGGCCUCUCACUGUUGUGGCCUCUCCCAUUGCGGAGCACAGGCUCCGGACACGCAGGCUCAGCGGCCAUGGCCCACGGGCCCAGGCUCUCCGCGGCAUGUGGGAUCUUCCCGGACCGGGGCAUGAACCGGUGUCCCCUGCAUCAGCAGGCGGGCUCUCAACCACUGCGCCACCAGGGAAGCACCCCUCAAGCCACACCUUGCAGCAUGAAGGAUCUUAGCACCCCGACCAGGGACAAAACCUUUGCCCCCUGCAGUGGAAGCACAGAGUCCUAACCACUGGACCACCAGGGAAUUCCCUAGAAGUAAAAACUUUAAAUAAAAUAGAGGGCUUCCCUGGUGGCACAGUGGUUAAGAAUGGCCUGACAAUUCAGGGGACAUGGGUUCGAUCCCUGGUCCGGGAAGAUCCCACAUGCUGUGGAGCAGCUAAGCCUGUGCACCACAACUACUGAGCCUGCGUUCUAGAGCCUGUGAGCCAUAACUACUGAAGCCCACACGCCUAGAGCCCGUGCUCCACAACAAGAGAAGCCACUGCAAUGAGAAGCCUGCGCACUGCAACGGAGAGUAGUUCCCGCUCACAGCAACCAGAGAAAGCCCGCGCACGGCGACGAAGACCCAACGCAGCCAAAAAUAGAUAAAUAGAUUAAAAAUAAAAAAGAAAAUGUUUCUUGUAUUGUUCCUGUUAAGCAUUUCUCAUAUUUUGGCAUCACACACCAAAACAUGAUGUCAGAGGUGUGGGGUGGGGGGGGAGCAGGUAGAGGUGAGGGAAAGACCAGGUUAGAUAGUACAAUGUGUGCAGUGGUGAAGAAUUGACUAAAUUUAAUUAAUCUUCAAUUAGCAGAUCACUGAGGAUAUGAAUCACUCACUGGCAGUCAAAAGGUGAUGUCAGUGAAUGGUUAUGGCUCAGCAUGACUGCUUCUGUUUGCUCCUGUAUUUACUCCUAGCACUAUUGCUACUGCAGGGCUCUCCUAUGAAUUUUUUUUUUUUUUUUUUUUGCGGUACGCGGGCCUCUCCUGUGAAUUUUAUUGUGGGACUUUAGAAAUGUCUACAGCCAAGGGUAGCAUUAAUAAGUACUCCAGUUGAUAGUUAGAGCAAGGAACAAGUUUCUUAAUAAAGUUUAUAAAUAUGGCUUUGGACUGAUCUUAUUGGCAAUAGUCAUACUAUUAAUUUCUAGCUGAAAGAAUCACAUGCUCACAGGAGUACUGAGCCUAAGUAGAAGACUCAUUUUGGUGGAAAUUGGGUUAGAACAGCACAUGCAACUCAAGGAUUGCUGAAGAAGGGCAGGUGCAUAAAGUUGCUUCAUCAUGAAAGGUGAAUAUUCAACGUGGAGACUGAGCGCCCUUGGUUAAGUUUAUAAAACAGUUUCUGCCUAAACUCUCUGUAAUAGUUACCAAUUGUGCUAAUAAUGGAUUACAAAAAUCCUCAGUAGCCAAUCAGGUUGCGACCUCCUUACUUCUAAGCAUCUUCCUAGAGAAUAUCUUAUGAAGGUUAUGUAGUAUCUCAAUUCUCCUAUGAUUGCAUCUUGGAAACACUGGCUGCUAGUUCAUAAAAAACCAGAGAGUAUGUACAGAGUCAACUAGAAUCCUUCUUUUCUAGAUACUUUGGACUUCCAACUUUAGCUGGGCUAAAGUGGAACGACAUGAGCCAUGAACUCCAGGGUUUUCUGGACAGAGUGCCAUAUUUUUAAGUAACCAUGAUUGACGGUUAUGGGAAAAAAAAUACUUAAAUGGGCUCUUGGACUUUGUUCUGAGGUCAAAAGGGACCGCAUUAAAAAAUGUGUAUUCUAUAUCCUGAUCUUGGUGUUUGACACAAAAAUAGUACCUAAUGUUGUGUGAUAUUGUGUAUUCUUUUGUUUGAACAUAGUUUGUAGAUGGACUCUAUUAAUGAAAACACACUGUGGUGGAGAGGAAUGUGUGUGUGUGUGUGUUUCAGUGCUGUUUUUAUUUAUUUUUAUUUUUAUUUUUUUUGCGGUACGCGGGCCUCUCACUGUUGUGGCCUCUCCCGUUGCAGAGCACAGGCUCCGAUGUUCAGGCUCAGCGGGCAUGGCUCACGGGCCCAGCCGCUCCGCGGCAUGUGGGAUCUUGCCAGACCGGGUCACGAACCCGUGUCCCCCGCAUCGGCAGGCGGACUCUCAACCACUGCGCCACCAGGGAAGCCCUCAGUGCUGUUUUUAAAUGGCCUGUUGGGUAGGUUUGAUGAAAUGUGUUAGGUUAUUUCACCUUUGUCUCCUGUUCUCUCCCUCCACCGUAAGACUGGAAGAACAACACACUUAUACCCAAGCCUCCAGUAGUCUCUUUGGAAGGGUAGGCCAAUUAGAACCAAACUGCUUGUCCCCACCCCCAGCCACUCUGGUAGGUUCUGAAUCCAGUUUCAGUGUUGUUAAAUUUCAGGGCAGAAAGUGAUAAUUUGGAAAAGUGCCAAAACCCACUGUAAUUUUUCCUGGCAGCUUUCCCUUGGUGUCAUUGGUAAGUUCUGCAUUUCACUGGAGUACCGCACCACUACUACUACAGUACCUCGCAGCAGACUUUUUCAUUUGGUCCACUUUUAUCUUUGGAAGAAGCCGUUUUUCAGUAGGGAUAGACGGAUUUACACUCUAUUAAAGCUAGUCAGAAUGCUUUCCCUUAAGGGUCAUUCACUUCCUGCCUUAUGCUUAAUAAGUUCCCUUGGAUUUUCCUUGAUGCUUACAUAAAAAGCCUGGGAUGAUCA